AAUCGCCAGGGAACUACGAGCAAAGCUUAAAACCCAAAGGACUUGACGGUACCCCAUAUCCACCUAGAGGAGCCUGUCCUAUAAUCGAUAACCCCCGCUAAACCUCACCACUUCUAGCCCAUCAGCCUGUAUACCUCCGUCGUCAGCUUACCACGUGAGCGCAACCUAGUGAGCUUAAUGCCAUACGCCAACACGUCAGGUCAAGGUGCAACAUAUGAGAUGGGAAGAGAUGGGCUACACUCUCUAAUUUAGAAAAUACGGAAGACUACCUAUGAAACCUAGUCUAAGGCGGAUUAGAAGUAAAAGAAACCAGAGAGUUCUUUUACUGGCAUGGGUGUGU
Molecule: ribosomal RNA, 340 nt
Filed under: Allophryne ruthveni (Tukeit Hill frog)
Lineage: Eukaryota; Metazoa; Chordata; Amphibia; Anura; Allophrynidae
Description: partial 12S ribosomal RNA
Rfam family: Bacterial small subunit ribosomal RNA
Source: RNAcentral